RNAcentral lists this ribosomal RNA (950 nucleotides) under Paenarthrobacter nitroguajacolicus. Its description in RNAcentral is "bacterial SSU rRNA". It matches the Rfam family "Bacterial small subunit ribosomal RNA", at positions 47 to 1008 of the family's 1533-position model. The record is from RNAcentral. Lineage: Bacteria; Bacillati; Actinomycetota; Actinomycetes; Micrococcales; Micrococcaceae.
CUUAACACAUGCAAGUCGAACGAUGAUCCCAGCUUGCUGGGGGAUUAGUGGCGAACGGGUGAGUAACACGUGAGUAACCUGCCCUUGACUCUGGGAUAAGCCUGGGAAACUGGGUCUAAUACCGGAUACGACCAUCUGGCGCAUGUCAUGGUGGUGGAAAGCUUUUGUGGUUUUGGAUGGACUCGCGGCCUAUCAGCUUGUUGGUGGGGUAAUGGCCUACCAAGGCGACGACGGGUAGCCGGCCUGAGAGGGUGACCGGCCACACUGGGACUGAGACACGGCCCAGACUCCUACGGGAGGCAGCAGUGGGGAAUAUUGCACAAUGGGCGAAAGCCUGAUGCAGCGACGCCGCGUGAGGGAUGACGGCCUUCGGGUUGUAAACCUCUUUCAGUAGGGAAGAAGCGAAAGUGACGGUACCUGCAGAAGAAGCGCCGGCUAACUACGUGCCAGCAGCCGCGGUAAUACGUAGGGCGCAAGCGUUAUCCGGAAUUAUUGGGCGUAAAGAGCUCGUAGGCGGUUUGUCGCGUCUGCUGUGAAAGACCGGGGCUCAACUCCGGUUCUGCAGUGGGUACGGGCAGACUAGAGUGCAGUAGGGGAGACUGGAAUUCCUGGUGUAGCGGUGAAAUGCGCAGAUAUCAGGAGGAACACCGAUGGCGAAGGCAGGUCUCUGGGCUGUAACUGACGCUGAGGAGCGAAAGCAUGGGGAGCGAACAGGAUUAGAUACCCUGGUAGUCCAUGCCGUAAACGUUGGGCACUAGGUGUGGGGGACAUUCCACGUUUUCCGCGCCGUAGCUAACGCAUUAAGUGCCCCGCCUGGGGAGUACGGCCGCAAGGCUAAAACUCAAAGGAAUUGACGGGGGCCCGCACAAGCGGCGGAGCAUGCGGAUUAAUUCGAUGCAACGCGAAGAACCUUACCAAGGCUUGACAUGAACCGGAAAGACCUGGAAACA